Molecule: non-coding RNA, 24 nt
Filed under: Arabidopsis thaliana (thale cress)
Lineage: Eukaryota; Viridiplantae; Streptophyta; Magnoliopsida; Brassicales; Brassicaceae
Source: RNAcentral
AGAGAUGUCAAAAACAGGGCUUCU